CGGCGGACGGGUGAGUAACGCGUGGGUAACCUACCCUGUACACACGGAUAACAUACCGAAAAGUAUGCUAAUACGGGAUAAUAUAUUUGAGAGGCAUCUCUUGAAUAUCAAAGGUGAGCCAGUACAGGAUGGACCCGCGUCUGAUUAGCUAGUUGGUAAGGUAACGGCUUACCAAGGCGACGAUCAGUAGCCGACCUGAGAGGGUGAUCGGCCACAUUGGAACUGAGACACGGUCCAA
This 238-nucleotide ribosomal RNA is filed under the name uncultured bacterium. RNAcentral describes it as "partial 16S ribosomal RNA". It matches the Rfam family "Bacterial small subunit ribosomal RNA", at positions 96 to 334 of the family's 1533-position model. The record is from RNAcentral.